GAGUUUGAUUCAUGGCUCAGGAUGAACGCUAGCUACAGGCUUAACACAUGCAAGUCGAGGGGCAGCAUGUUGGUUGCUUGCAACCAAUGAUGGCGACCGGCGCACGGGUGAGUAACGCGUAUCCAACCUACCCUUGUCCAUCGGAUAACCCGUCGAAAGGCGGCCUAACACGAUAUGCGGUUCUCAGCAGGCAUCUAACGAGAACGAAAUGUGAAGGAGAAGGAUGGGGAUGCGUCUGAUUAGCUUGUUGGCGGGAGUAACGGCCCACCAAGGCGACGAUCAGUAGGGGUUCUGAGAGGAAGGUCCCCCACAUUGGAACUGAGACACGGUCCAAACUCCUACGGGAGGCA
This 350-nucleotide ribosomal RNA is filed under the name uncultured bacterium. RNAcentral describes it as "bacterial SSU rRNA". It matches the Rfam family "Bacterial small subunit ribosomal RNA", at positions 9 to 350 of the family's 1533-position model. The record is from RNAcentral.